Alligator mississippiensis (American alligator) is the source of this 3364-nucleotide RNA transcript. RefSeq lists it as uncharacterized. Lineage: Eukaryota; Metazoa; Chordata; Crocodylia; Alligatoridae. The record is from RefSeq and is a predicted model, not a curated record. The transcript is spliced from 8 exons.
UUGGCACUCUGCCAUAUAUUCCAAGAAUAAAUGGGCCAUGACAGUGCUGACUUCACCAUUCUUCUGAGAAGCAAUACACCAACUAAGAUAUUAGCUGGGACAACAAGAAUUGGAAAAGAGUGGUAAGACAGGCGACCAGCGUCUCACAGCCUCUUGAACAAUGAUACUGCGCUCAGGAUUCCAAGUGCCUUAUGAGAAGAGCCGGAAAAGACCUAGGAAAAACAAAGAAAAAAUAAAAGCUAAAACUAAAUUCUUCCAACAAAAGCGGAGUGAAACAUGUCCAUAUCGGAAUAAAUCACCAGCAUAUAAACUUCGUGAAAGAAAGAAAUGUUACAUACAGACAGAGGAUUCAAAAACCGUGCAUUUUGACCUAGAUGAGCAUGGCCAUCGUGAAAUAUCAGUCAAGGAUACAGCAUCUGAUGAAGAUAUCGCAUGGUUAGACAUAUUUACAAGCAGCGAACAAGAUAUGGUACAUGAAAAUGGAACUAAAAAGGGUUGUAAUGAUUUGGUGACCAUGACUCAGAGAUCAAAAUGUAAUCAUUUUCUCCUACUGAGCGAGAGCAAGAAACAACUAGAUCUGAAGGUCUUGAAUUCACAACCCAUAGGACUCAGCAUGGCAGCGUGCAACAAUGAGGAGGAGCCAGAUGCCCAACAGCAUUAAUGGUGGAAUAGGCCUGUUGUAUACAGACUGCACCCAAGAAGGUACAUUCCUUGAGGCAGGUGGUAGGUUGGAUAGUGCCUACCCUCUCCAGGAACUCUGGUCUGAAAUUAGCAACUGGAAGCAAAAGAAGAAGAGAUGGCAAAAAAAGGCUAACAGAAGUGAGUCAAGAAAACCAGCUUUUCAUCAUGCAUAUGAACCCAGGAAAUUCAGUUAAAUUCCAGUGUUAUCAGGAUAAAAAUUACUUUCUUCAUGUAAAUAAGGACUCAAUUGAUGUUUGCAAGUUUGAAGAGACAGAAGCAGAUGCGGGGAAAGACUUUCAUUUCAAGGUUGAAUAUGUGGAGAAUGAGAUACAAAAUAGGAAUAAACUAUGUUAAGACCAUGUAGGAUUUAUAUCCUUAGCUUGUAUAACUUUUUCUACAUUCUUGUUUUAUUCAAGCUUGAUUUUGGUAUUAAAUAAGUACAGUGCCUCAUUUGAGUACUGACUGGAGGGGUGGUUAGCUGUGUAGAUAAACAAUUGCUUGGUAUAUUGUUGCCUGGGGACUGUAUUUUAAAGGAGCUGGGCUGGAAAGGGAAGAAUACAAGAUCAAACAUCUGAAAAAUGUGAGGAGGAAGAGAGAAAAAUUUAUAUGUAAAGGUUAAUUAGAAUUCAUUUCAUAUUUUGUAAUAUGGAACUCUUACACAAACUAAUUUAACCCAAAGAAAAAAUAUUUGCUAGCAUGUACACCUUAUACCCACAAUAACCAACAUUAGGGAGGGUUUACGCAAGCAUUUGGAGCUCUGAAAGGAACAAAGGAAGAGGACUGUUAGAUCAAGGCUAUGCAGCAGACCUAGUCCAUCUCCUUUACUCCCAAAUUAAUAUAUUUCCUUUUGUAUGCAACUUCAGUGCCCUUUUAUCUUUGCAGCCCUGCCUAAAAUCCAGAUAUAUUCCUUGAGAAUCAUACUGUAUUUGCUAGGGGAGACAGAGAUGUCAGACUGAUAGAGUGUCACAAGAGGACAUGUUCUCUCUGAACACUGGCCUAGACUGCUCUCAUCUCUGGAUCUUGCAGGGAAGCACAAAAGAGGAGGAAACUUUUGGUUCAGCUAUGAGGAGAAACACAAAACAGUAACCUAACAAAAACAAAAUAUUCAAAAUGACUAAAUAUAAUAAACUCAAGCUGCUUAUGGUAGGCUGGCAGCAGGUGUAAUGGGAAGUAUGGCCCCUCUGCAACAGCAUCUGUGAGCACAAUGAUGUUAAGUCUCUGCUCUUCACAUGGCUCAUGAUGUUCCAAGCAGGCAAAGGAACAAACCAAAAAUAUAAACUGCUGCAUCUGUGUAUGGUGGGUGUGAUUCUGGCAUUGCCCUGCACUUACUCAUUUACCUUGCCGUAAAGUGUGUGUAAAACAAUUAUUUUAUUUAGCAGCAUUUAAAAUUAUUUUUCCCUGUUGUAAAUGAUUUCACAAGAAUACAGAGCGCCAGUGAAUUUAGGCUUUACAUAUAUAAUACCAGGCACCUUGUCUGCAGGUCUGUGCCUGGAACAGUCCACAGGCUCCACAACACUUGUCAUUCUCUAAUGCAGACAAGACAUCAAAGUUGUGUGAUUCCUCAGCAUCAGAAAUGGAAUUUGGUUUUCCUCCAUGACCAAGUAGAGCACAACUGCUAAGCUAGUCCCUGUUGUAUUUUUCAAAUAGUGUGAAUAACUAACUGACACAUGAGUAGCUACUAUAUUGCCUGGUAGUGAAUUAAACUAAAUGAUGGCUUAAUAAUGUUUCAUGAUUAUGCAUUUAUUUUGAGGGAAUAGGAAAGAGAAUAAAUAAAGGCUCUAAUUCAGUUUGAAUAUGGGAGUAUUGCUUUCAAACAGAUACUUUACAUUGUCCGUCAUUUUAGAGUCUGUUCUGCCACUGAUUAAUACUAGCAGUAUGAUGCUCAGUUGUAUACAGAAUGCUCCCUCCAGUGGUUAAAUGGGUGAACAUCCUACACGGUCCACUAAAGUCCAUUAAAAGAGCCUCCUUAAAAUCUGGUCCUCAGUGGGAUUUGGUUCUGGGCCAUAGUUAAAGCUUGGAGCAUAAUGUCAUAUGUAAAGACUGUAGGUAGCUUGAAAUUGUAUUGUUUGCAUGAAGAGCCUUACAUUCUGUAGUCUUAAAAUAUCUAACAGUCGAGUCUUUUUAAAUAUAUCACUGCAUGUUAAAGGAUUUAAAUAUGGAAACCAGCAUUGGUAGUUUGUGUUAAGUUUUAGAUAUUGAAUUUAGAUAUAAUAGUUUCAUUUAUUAAUCUUCCAGAAAACAAAGGGUAACUUGCCAAGUCCAUUAAGACUGACUUUGAAAUACAAGUUCAUGGAAAGCAAGUGAAUAACAUUCUGAUCUAAUCUAUUCAUGUAGAACUAUAAUGCAAUGUUUUCAAAACCACUCAGUAAUUCUGCAUGUACAACCACAGAGACAAAAGGUUUGAUAUUCAGACAGGUUGAAGAAAAGCAAAUGAAAAACUGACUGUAUGGUCUCAAGUUAGUAGACACUUUUGAUAAUAUGGAAACUUAAAAUGCAUUUUAGAAGUGUAGUGCAUGCCACCAAAAGUGUAAUAUGAAUUUUUGUGACUAUUAUAGAUCUUUUUUGAAAAUAAGACUAUAUUACAAUAUUUACUUUGCAUGCUGUCAUUGUAAACAUCUAAUAUAAAGAUUUUAAUCUAAUUCAAAUAAACAUAUAUUUUUACUACAUUGUGAAUCUUAUAAGA